GACGAGCAUGGAGGCGACGAUGCGCGGACCCCGACCCGGCCGCCGCGACCGCGCUGAGCCACUGGCGAGCCCGACCGUGCUGGAU
RNAcentral lists this non-coding RNA (85 nucleotides) under unclassified sequences. RNAcentral's name for it is "c-di-GMP sequence". It matches the Rfam family "c-di-GMP-II-GCG riboswitch aptamer". The record is from Rfam by way of RNAcentral.